This is a non-coding RNA of Odobenus rosmarus divergens (Pacific walrus), 172 nucleotides long. Lineage: Eukaryota; Metazoa; Chordata; Mammalia; Carnivora; Odobenidae. The record is from the annotation of a RefSeq genome assembly.
AUGGCCUGGUCCCCGCUCCUCCUCAGCCUCCUCGCUCAGUGCACAGGGUCCUGGGCCCAGUCUGUGCUGACUCAGCCGGCGUCCGUGUCUGGAGCCCUGGGCCAGAGGGUCACCAUCUCCUGCACUGGAAGCAGCUCCAACAUUGGGAGUUAUGGUGUUAACUGGUACCAAC